This is a long non-coding RNA of Scleropages formosus (Asian bonytongue), 772 nucleotides long. RefSeq lists it as uncharacterized. The record is from RefSeq and is a predicted model, not a curated record. The transcript is spliced from 3 exons. NCBI's taxonomy places the organism in Eukaryota, Metazoa, Chordata, Actinopteri, Osteoglossiformes, Osteoglossidae.
GAACUCUUAAAGAGGCAGCGCCAUAAAACGGCGGUUGUGGGGAUGAAGAAUGAAGAAUUCCAAAAGAAGAAUUCUAUUCUUCUUUUCUACAGGAGACCAGUACCUGAAUGAACUGAAGACUGCUGCGCAAUAUAACGAAAUUAUACGUCCUGUUCCUGCUCUGCAGUACAACUCUGCCAUAUCCAGAAGUAUGGAAGCUAUGCCCAGGGGGCCAGGAGUGCCACGUAUUAUGGUCACGAGGAGCAUACCUUGCCAGCUGUGCAGCAUGAUCGCCAAAAGCCAUUCAGGGAAACGGGCUGCCUCCCUAAAGCACAGAUCGCAGAGACAAAAUUAUAAUACAGUUGAUAUUGAGCUAACAAUAACUGGAACAUAAAUUGAAACCUUGAGUCAAGAAGACAACAACGGCAAUGCUUGGAGCUUCUACAACUUGUACUAGCUGUACUUUUAGAAAUAAAUUAUACCAACCAAUUAACAUUUGGAGCCAGAAUGCUAACCACAUACUGGAAAAUUAGUUACCUGACUCUGAGUGCAAGAUAUGGAAUGUGGUCGUGUCACUAGAGUUUAAAAUCCCGUAUUUUGCAUCCUCUAAAGGUCACAUUCAUUAAACACCCUGUCUAGCAUUCCAUCCAUGCGAUGACACUUUCCAAAGCAGUGCGUUAAAAAACAUUUCAGUGUUAUGUUUUCACUUUUUCAGUGCAUCAUUAAUAAAUGGUUUUUCAUGGGUGAAAUAGCUGAGUGAAUGCAGCACUGCUUUGUUUGGUGAAAUUUUAUA